UCUAGAGGAGAGGCGGCGUAAAAAUGGAAAACCACUGGAAGUAGCGUUUUGCCCACGAACGUACAAGGUUGUUGGGGGCGAGCACGCUGCUUUUGUCCGCCUUGUGGGAACCCAAAUUAAAACGAAAGUUCCCGGACAUUACGGUUCAUGGGAAUUAGUGCCUAAACAAUACAAGGAUCAGGUCCUUGGCAUAAUUCAGUACUAUUAUCAAAUAGCGGGCCGCGAGGAUUUCUUAAAGUGUUAAGAUGGUAUCGAUCGAGAGAUGAAAGACCGAUACCGUAAUAGGAAAACACUAAGACACGAACACUUUGAGAAACACUACAAUGGACCGGAGGAUUGGGAUAAGGUUCUAAACAACCCAACCAAUGAUGUUAACAAGAAGGAGUGGAAGCAGAUCUGUCAGUUAUUUACAAGUCCACAAUUUAUUGCGCGCUCCAUAAAGAAUAAGGAAAAUCGGAAGAAACAAAAGUAUUCUACAACGCAGGGUACAAAAUCGUUGGCAGCCGUCCGUUUUGAAAAAGUAAGUAAAAGAUAAAAUAUUAUCAAAAUUAUGUUCUUUUAAAUUAUAUGUUCUCUAACAUUUGGGUUAUAUUUUUUAGACGAACACGGACCUCAUUGAGUCAUGGAAGGAUUAUCAUUGGAAGAAAGCAACAAAUGAUUUCGUGAACGAUGAUGCUCGCCAAGAUUAUGAAAAACUGAAGGCUGAUUUUGAGUUACAAACUCAGCAAACAUCCACUGAUGCUUCUAAUAAUGAUAGUCCG
Long non-coding RNA from Humulus lupulus (European hop), 761 nucleotides. RefSeq lists it as uncharacterized. The transcript is spliced from 3 exons. The record is from RefSeq and is a predicted model, not a curated record. NCBI's taxonomy places the organism in Eukaryota, Viridiplantae, Streptophyta, Magnoliopsida, Rosales, Cannabaceae.